This 19-nucleotide small nuclear RNA is filed under the name Arabidopsis thaliana (thale cress). Its description in RNAcentral is "snRNA_18361". Lineage: Eukaryota; Viridiplantae; Streptophyta; Magnoliopsida; Brassicales; Brassicaceae. The record is from RNAcentral.
GAAGCUAGAGGUGUCAGAA